RNAcentral lists this long non-coding RNA (588 nucleotides) under Sciurus vulgaris (Eurasian red squirrel). RNAcentral describes it as "lncRNA (ENSSVLG00005021810.1)". Lineage: Eukaryota; Metazoa; Chordata; Mammalia; Rodentia; Sciuridae. The record is from RNAcentral.
CGAUGGAAGGGACCCAGCCAUGGUCAGCCUCAUCCUUGUCACCUGCGUCAGGUCCCGCAUCGGCUCCUGACGCUGACGCUGCUACCGGGUUUGGAGCUGUGUUUGCUCUGCGGUCCUCGCCCGCCCCUCAGCCAGCUGGAUCCUCAGCUUCUGGAGCGCUGGUGGCAGCCACUGUUGGACCCGCUGCGGGCCUGCCUGCCGCUGGGCCCCCGAGGGCUGCCCGAUGGCUUCCCCCUGCACACGGACAUCCUAGGACUGCUGCUCCUCCAUCUGGAACUGAAACGUUGCCUCUUCACCGUGGAGCCUCUGGGGAAUAAAGAACCCUCCCCAGAACAGCGCAGGCGCCUCCUCCGCCAUUUCUACGCCUUGGUCACUACAGCGCACUUCCCAGCAGGUGAGGGGCGUGCUGGGGGACACUAGAGAGACUGAAAGGAAAACCCAGCACAGCUGGCCAUGGUUUCCCUUGAGCACCCAGCAUUGACACAGGCUGGAAGGGAGGGUACCCGGGCUCCUGCCUGGCUUCUGACUUUCUUGGGUAAUUCUACUAGUUAAUAAUAAUUAACACGAGGCCUUUUCUUUUGCUAGUAA